This is a non-coding RNA of Equus caballus (horse), 489 nucleotides long. NCBI's taxonomy places the organism in Eukaryota, Metazoa, Chordata, Mammalia, Perissodactyla, Equidae. The record is from the annotation of a RefSeq genome assembly.
AUGGACACACUGUAUCCCACCCUCCUGCUGCUGACCACCCCUUCCUGGGCUCUGUCCCAGAUCAACCUGCAGGAGUCUGGUCCUGGGCUGCUGAAGCCCACCCAGACCCUUACGCUGACCUGCUCCUUCUCUGGGUUCUCACUGACUACUGAUAUUGGUGUUGGUUGGAUCCGUCAACCCCCUGGGAAGCGCCUGGAGUGGCUCACCUAUGUUUGCUGGACUGAUGAAAAGCAUUACAACCCAUCUCUGAAGAGCCGGCUCGCAAUCUCCAAGGACACCUCAAAAAACCAGGUGAUACUGACAAUGACCAGUUUGGACCCUGCAGACAUAGCCACAUAUUACUGUGUAAAGAGGGAACAGAGAUACAUUCCAGGGGCCUCCUAUACAAAAACCCUGUCUGGGUCUCACCAGGGCCCCCACCUCUGCAGAACAGGAAACUGUGGGGAGAUGGCAUUUCCUGCCAGGCUCUGGGGUUUCCUCUUACAGUGA